Molecule: ribosomal RNA, 723 nt
Filed under: Triticum aestivum (bread wheat)
Lineage: Eukaryota; Viridiplantae; Streptophyta; Magnoliopsida; Poales; Poaceae
Description: partial small subunit ribosomal RNA
Source: RNAcentral
AUGGCUGUUUGGCUGAGCACAACUGCCCCGCUGGGAUUUGAAGAAUCCACCAUCCUUCAGUUUCUCUGCAGGCAUUCAUGGCAGGUGAUGUUCAUACUGGUUGUGGUCAAUUUAUUUCGGCAGAUCUUGGAGGCUGGUACUCCCAUUUCUUACUUCGGAAAUGCUUCAACUGAUAAUUUCCGAUGGCCUCUGGACAGGCUUACCCUGUGUGGUCAGCAUUUGCGAGAUCAGGGUGCCAGCAUGGCUACUUACAGUUUAAGAAGCUUUGUUCGCAAUGACAGUGAAAGGUUUCCAUUUUCUUCUUCUUUUUCCCUGGCUGUUUCUACUUUUCUUCUGUUCUCACCUCCUGCCAGCGUGACUCAUGAAAAUGAGACAAGGCUUGUACAAGAGCAGGGAGUCCCCAUGGACGCGGUGGAGUCCUCGUCGCCCUACUCGCCUCCCGAGCUGCGCCACAAGCUGCGGACCACCGUAUGCGGCUGCUUCGGCUCGCCUUCUUCACCGGUCACCGGCGCGGGGAGGCCGCACACCGGUGGCGGCAGGGCCAGGAGGAGGCGAUGCGUGGCAGCCAUGGGGGAGUUCAGGUACGACCCGCUCAGCUAUGCGCUCAACUUCGACGAGGGCGGCAGCGACGACGACGCCUUCCGGUACAGGAACUUCAACUCGCGACUUCCGCCCUUGCCGACACCGGCUGCCCGGCGUCUCACCACGGUCGCCAUCGCCUGA